GAGUUUGAUCCUGGGCUCAGGAUGAACGCUAGCGGCAGGCUUAAUACAUGCAAGUCGUGGGGCAGCGCAGGUAGCAAUACUGGGCGGCGACCGGCAAACGGGUGCGGAACACGUACACAACCUUCCGAGAAGUGGGGAAUAGCCCAGAGAAAUUUGGAUUAAUACCCCGUAACAUAACGAUGUGGCAUCACAUUGUUAUUAUAGCUUCGGCGCUUCUUGAUGGGUGUGCGGCUGAUUAGAUAGUUGGCGGGGUAACGGCCCACCAAGUCUACGAUCAGUAGCUGAUGUGAGAGCAUGAUCAGCCACACGGGCACUGAGACACGGGCCCGACUCCUACGGGAGGCAGCAGUAAGGAAUAUUGGUCAAUGGACGCAAGUCUGAACCAGCCAUGCCGCGUGAAGGAUUAAGGUCCUCUGGAUUGUAAACUUCUUUUAUCUGGGACGAAAAAAGGCGAUUCUUCGUCACUUGACGGUACCAGAUGAAUAAGCACCGGCUAACUCCGUGCCAGCAGCCGCGGUAAUACGGAGGGUGCAAGCGUUAUCCGGAUUCACUGGGUUUAAAGGGUGCGUAAGCGGGCACGUAAGUCNAGUGGUGA
Molecule: ribosomal RNA, 595 nt
Filed under: uncultured bacterium
Lineage: Bacteria
Description: bacterial SSU rRNA
Rfam family: Bacterial small subunit ribosomal RNA
Source: RNAcentral